This 723-nucleotide long non-coding RNA is filed under the name Dermacentor andersoni. RNAcentral's name for it is "uncharacterized LOC126524603". The record is from RNAcentral. Lineage: Eukaryota; Metazoa; Arthropoda; Arachnida; Ixodida; Ixodidae.
CACUACCAACGUUCUGGCGCCGUACACAGCUUACUGGUGCAUAUUUAACGCAAUUAAUAAAUUACUUUAGCCAUGAAACUACAGACGAAAUAAUUCGCAUUACUGAAUCACUAGACAACUAAUCCAACACAUAUAUUACUGAAAAAGUAUUUCAAUUAUUGUAAGUAAUCCAACUGCUGUCAUGUAUGCUGAUAUGCUGAAAUUAAUGACAUCCAUGCCUUGCACUCUUUCAGGUACUAGCAGAGCUCCUUGAGAACCUAGCCCCUGAUGAACCUGUUCCACUACCAUCACCAAUCGAAGAGUUUGAAGCAGCCAUUGUGCCACAGGCAGCUGGUGUUGAACAGAAUUGCCCCGAAACUGCAGACAAGAGCCUUCAAGUUCUGAUACAACCAGUAACAUCUUGCACGGCGACACAAGCAGACAUGAAAAAAAAGUGCAGCUUCAUCUCAUGUGGGACGCAGACAAAGCUUCGGGGUGUUUAAGUUGGUGUCCAGUUUGGCAACUUCAUGGUAGAUGUUGCUACUCAGCUGAUGAAUGUGGCAGAGCCAUGUUAUGAGAGUGACAGCUUAAGUGACAAUGAACCUGCUUCUGAUUUCGACGACGAUUACAGUCCUGACAAUUUUGACAGUCCUCAUUUAUUUAUAUCUGCAAAAUUCCUCUAAUUUGAGACAUCUCUUCCAGGUACUAUCUGUAAUCAGACAGUAAAGACGAAAUAUCAAGCAA